UAGUUUACGGAUAAGUCGUUGAGGAUCUGUCAGUUCACGUGUUUGUCACAGCGUGUAGUCGGAAAUGGAAUCUCGCAGUUUCCGCCGUCAAUCUUCCUCCGGCGGAAUCUCCGAUUAUGUAUCUUCUCUGAUCUCCGGUUACAUGAGGGACAUUUCACCUUAUGUUGAAUGCCUAUCUUGUUCAAACCUCAGCAGUUACUAAGGAACAUGCAUUUGAAUUGAGGAAAAAGAACAAUUUGCAUGUUUUCUAUCUUCCAGAUCAAAGCUCGCCAUCUCCUUUUCACAAAAUAGCAUUAGGAAAAAGGUAUUGUCCAUAAAUCUCUCUCUGGAUUUGAUAGAUGCUCUUUCACCAGCGACCUAAAGUUUUCUUUACAGUGUUAUUGUCCUCACUCCUCAGAUCACUAAGGUAUUGUAGGAGAAAUUCUUUUUCAGGAAAAAAGGUAUUCUAGGAGAAACCUCCUUUAUCUCCACGUCUGUGUGGUAAUAUUGAUUAAAAUUAAGUCAUUUGAAUUGAAAGUAAUGUUGUCAGAUUGUGAUGAAACCAUGCAUGUGCAGUUUGGUUGCACCUCUGGCAAAUGACUACUUAUCAAUAAUCAUUGCACCUUCUUCUUAA
Long non-coding RNA from Nicotiana attenuata, 613 nucleotides. RefSeq lists it as uncharacterized. The transcript has 2 exons. Lineage: Eukaryota; Viridiplantae; Streptophyta; Magnoliopsida; Solanales; Solanaceae. The record is from RefSeq and is a predicted model, not a curated record.